This 2277-nucleotide long non-coding RNA is filed under the name Anas platyrhynchos platyrhynchos (common mallard). Its description in RNAcentral is "lncRNA (ENSAPLG00000024209.1)". The record is from RNAcentral. Lineage: Eukaryota; Metazoa; Chordata; Aves; Anseriformes; Anatidae.
UCUGAAAGGCCCUUACCAAGCGUGCCCCGCGGCGGCUGCAGGGAGGAGACCUGGGGAGGACCUGGGGAGGAGGGCAUGUUCUGCAGCAGCUGCAUCGGGCAAUUCUGUGCCUUUAAAAAAAAUGGAGCUAACCGAUUGCGCCGAGGCACGGCGUUCUGUGCUUGUGUUGGCCUGUCCUACUUAGGAAUUGGCAGCGUGGAAACCUCGCGGAGUUUUCCAAGUGUAUUGCAGAGCACGUCGAAGGUUACAGGAAGCCAGCAGGGACAGCUCAAGUCUGAAAGGAAUGAUUAAUCACAUGCAAUUUUAAGGCCCGUGGUGCGUUUCUUGUUGCCCUUUAGGGUACUCAAUUUCGCUUCGUAUAAAUGAAAAAAAAAAAAAAGUCUUAAUGAUAGAGCUCCAAAAAUAGUUUAAUCAAAAAUAACAUAGUAUGCAUUGGCUCAUCUGUGAUGCUGUUGUUCCUCUGUAAAUUUAAGAAGCACCACGGGAAUAAAACAUUUCUAGUUGAGCUUGCCAGAGAAACAGAGUGAGUCACCGUCACUGCUUUUUUCUAAAGUUAAGGUAUUGACUAGCAUCCUGUCCUUGGAGGCUAAAGUAUUUGGGGAGAGCCUCUGACAAUCCAAACAUUCUCAGGUCAUUAACUCAGAAACCUCGUGUAUUCAGGAGACUCAUGGUUACAUCUCAAAUACUAAAAGUCACAGCUGUUAGGAAAAAGAAGGAAAUGAUGGCUCAGCAGCCACAGGAAAGGACCAUAAACGGGUGUGCUUUACAUCUUGGAGAACAAGAUUUUUUUCUGUUGCUGUAAAUUCAGGUGCAGAUCGAAGCAUCUGUGAAAUGAUCUGAAAGAUAAGGUUAUACCCCAUGUAGAAGUGGCUAAGAAAACAAGCCAUCACUAUGUUGGUGGAGGAACUGCAGUUUGAUUCUGUUAAGUAUUCAGAAGCAAAUUUGCAGUGGAUGAAUGUAGCAGCAAACUAAUUUUGUCAUCAGUAAUGCAUGAAAGAAAAAACAAUGAAGAUGCAUUUGUGUAUACCCAGGCUUAAAAGAAUUAAACAUGGAUUCAAGAUUCCUCAUCAGCCAAAGGAUCAAAGUCCUAAUAUUUCAGAAACCAGUGAGGGGCAGCAGGUUUUCACAUGGAAAAUAUUACUGUCUUUCAUGUUUAAGGAAAUACGGAGCUGUGAGUAUUGCACACUUUAUUAUUGUAAUGAAUUCCAUGCAUCACCUCAUUGAAUAUUAUAACAAAUAUGUCACUGUAUGCUCCUGUAAAUGAAAGUGAUUUUUUGCUGUUUUGUAGAAGCUUGAUGUACAUGUUCUCUAUAGCUGGGGAAAAAAAAAAAAAAAAAAAAAAAAAAAGAAUGUCCUAACAGAUGUGUCUGCAAAGCUGUAGAGUGCCUGUAGGAUUGGUUUCAUAAGUAAAUCUAUCACAUGCACAGCACAUAUUGAGGCACUACUUUUAGAAAUGAGGCCAGAAUAUUAGGAUAAAAGAAUGAGAAGAGCUUUGAUUUAUUAGCUGCAACUAGCUAGCUGAGUAACUGAACAGUCAGUGUUACUCAGAAAUCUCUUUGUGCUUCAGAGAAAUAACUGCUUGUUAACUAGACACACUAUUAAUACAGGUACUGUAUCAACCAGACUAUUAAACGAAGCUGUAAACAGUAAAAAUGUACCUUACAGUGAACACAACCCAUUCUUGCUUCUAGUGCCCCUACUCCAGUGGACUACCUGCAUGUGGUCUGUCUGUUGUCUUGAUCCCAGCUACUCAGUUAUGCCACAGGGAAGCGACCAGCCUGGAGGUCUGGAGCAAAGCAUUUUGGUAUGCCAGCCAUUAAUGCUCACCUGAGUGAUAAUGUGUGGCUAUUAAUAACCCAAGGGAAUAAUGAUUUAAAUCUUUUUUUUUUUUUUUUUUUUUUUUUUUGCUUCUGUUCAUGAGAACAGAAUAGCUAAUCUGUUUUACAGAGAAUUUCUCCAUGGUUUCUUCAUGAAGCUUUGAACCAGGGACCAAAUCCUUGUUUGGCCAAACAAUUUUCUGUAUACCAUUUGAAAAUACAUCUGGCAGUUGCCAUUUGGACACACUCCUAUCUCCUAUCCUCAGCUGAAGACAACUUUCCUGCACAGCUUUUCAGUAACAUCUCAGUGUGUAUAUACAGUAAAUAUUUUGGUAGAAAUUACAAGUGAAAAUUAAAAGUCUAAAUUGUUAUGCUGUUAAACCCUGUGCAGCUGGUAAUAAUUCUAUCCAGAAUGAAUGUAAGGAAUAAAUAGAUCAUAAUUCUUUACUUGUAGUCCUAU